GCAGGUGCUCGGUGUGCCCGGCCGCCCAAGACUCCGCCUUCCUCACGCUAGUGCGUCUGGAGAGGAGGAGGGGGCGGCACGCACAGCCGUGCCCUGCCGUCGGCGACGACGGCGCGGCCGUGCCCUCCGACGCCGCUCUUCUGCGCGCGUGAGGACACCAACUCCGCUCUCGACGACGACCGCACCAUGGAAUGGAGCCCUUCAAGGAAGACUUUGGGUUGCUUGUAACCCGCCAUGUCACAGAUAGGGUGCCUGUUAGAAAUCUUCUAUGGGGGUAACCAACAAGCGACAAAUAUUCAGUCUUGAGGGCGCAAGUACUGAAGCUAUGAUCCAGCUGUUGAGAAUAACUGAUAAUCAUGGUGUCUUAUGUGUAACUAUUUUCUUCAGAAAUCACCAAGUACUUGUGAGUGCUUACCUUUUACAUACUAUGUUGUUCUUGGAUCAUGAAUGACUCUGUUCUAUUGUC
This is a long non-coding RNA of Triticum dicoccoides, 466 nucleotides long. RefSeq lists it as uncharacterized. The record is from RefSeq and is a predicted model, not a curated record. The transcript is spliced from 3 exons. NCBI's taxonomy places the organism in Eukaryota, Viridiplantae, Streptophyta, Magnoliopsida, Poales, Poaceae.